AGGAUAUGCACUCAACAGCAAUCUACGUAGCUGAUCCAGAGAAGCAACAUGUACAAUCAAAGGGUUAUCAGCAGGGCGGUUCUUUGCUUUGUAUAUUGACAAGACUGCUUCAGUCCUUCGGGCAUCAGCACCGAGACCGUAAACUGUUUCGGUAGGAAAAGCAACUGGAUAAUCGGUGUUUCUCAAUAUAUUCGCGGCGUUCUCUAAUGCAGAACGAGUUUCUGAGGGAGGUAUGGACACCCUUGUGUGUUCAAAAGGAUGUUCCGAAUCAUUACUAGGCUUUUCAAAAGAGAUAAGGCGAGUAUCAACUGUUUGAAUUUUUGUUUCCAUUGUCAAGGAAGAAAACCUAAGUUUCUGGCUUACUGAGGCCAAUUUUGCUAUAAAAUUGUAAUACUUCAGCUUGUUUUAUGUUAAUUGAUUUAGAAAGAAGAAGCUAAAUGCUGAUAGAGAGAAGGGUGAAGUUGAUUGCUAUUAUUAAGUUGAAGCGCAUCAUUGCUGGUUGUCGACUCUUGCAAAGUAAGAGAAA
Molecule: non-coding RNA, 526 nt
Organism: Schizosaccharomyces pombe (fission yeast)
Lineage: Eukaryota; Fungi; Ascomycota; Schizosaccharomycetes; Schizosaccharomycetales; Schizosaccharomycetaceae
Source: the annotation of a GenBank genome assembly